CGCCUUGCCAGCCGCUCAGAACUUAAGGAAUUGACGGGGCCGCACAAGCGGAGGAGCAUGUGGUUUAAUUCGAUGAUACGCGAGGAACCUUACCUGGGCUCGAACGUAAGAUGACUGUAGGUGAAAGCUUACAUCUCUUCGGAGCAUUUACGAGGUGCUGCAUGGUUGUCGUCAGCUCGUGCCGUGAGGUGUCGGGUUAAGUCCCAUAACGAGCGCAACCCCUACCUUUAGUUGCCAUCAGGUAAUGCUGGGGACUCUAAAGGAACUGCCUACGCAAGUAGUGAGGAAGGCGGGGAUGACGUCAAAUCAGCACGGCCCUUACGUCCAGGGCUACACACGUGCUACAAUGGCCGAUACAGAGGGCAGCUACCUGGUGACAGGAUGCAAAUCUCCAAAGUCGGUCUCAGUUCGGAUCGGAGUCUGCAACCCGACUCCGUGAAGUUGGAUUCGCUAGUAAUCGCGCAUCAGCCAUGGCGCGGUGAAUACGUUCCCGGGCCUU
Molecule: ribosomal RNA, 499 nt
Filed under: uncultured Sphingobacteriales bacterium
Lineage: Bacteria; Pseudomonadati; Bacteroidota; Sphingobacteriia; Sphingobacteriales
Description: bacterial SSU rRNA
Rfam family: Bacterial small subunit ribosomal RNA
Source: RNAcentral